RNAcentral lists this long non-coding RNA (387 nucleotides) under Citrus sinensis (sweet orange). RNAcentral's name for it is "long non-coding RNA (CSIN_LNC002602)". The record is from RNAcentral. Lineage: Eukaryota; Viridiplantae; Streptophyta; Magnoliopsida; Sapindales; Rutaceae.
AAGAACGAUAAGAAAAAGGUAACAAUAAUAAAAUUCCCAAAAUGACCUCCGCAUCGCCGCCAGUCCUCCCAAUCUCCAACUCCCAACCGACCACCACGGCGUCCUCCGCUUCCUCGGUCCAAUCCCAACCACCAGUGGCGACCCCGGCUUUCCGCGCCCUAAUCAACCACAUCUCCGACUCACUCCGUUACGGCUUCGCCCAGCGCCGCCCGUGGGCCGAACUCGCCGACCGAUCCGCCUUCUCCAAACCGGAGUCGUUCUCCGAAGCCACCCUCCGCAUCCGCAAGAACUACUCCUAUUUCCGAGUCAAUUACCUCACGGUCGUCGCUGUCGUCAUUGCUUUCUCUCUCAUCACCAAUCCUUUCUCUCUCCUCAUGCUCGUCGGAC